UCAUCUUCGGGGGUAGAGCACUGUUUCGGCUAGGGGGUCAUCCCGACUUACCAACCCGAUGCAAACUACGAAUACCGAAGAAUGUUAUCACGGGAGACACACGGCGGGUGCUAACGUCCGUCGUGAAGAGGGAAACAACCCAGACCGCCAGCUAAGGUCCCAAAGUCAUGGUUAAGUGGGAAACGAUGUGGGAAGGCACAGACAGCCAGGAUGUUGGCUUAGAAGCAGCCAUCAUUUAAAGAAAGCGUAAUAGCUCACUGGUCGAGUCGGCCUGCGCGGAAGAUGUAACGGGGCUAAACCAUGCACCGAAGCUGCGGCAGCGACACUAUGUGUUGUUGGGUAGGGGAGCGUUCUGUAAGCCUGCGAAGGUGUGCUGUGAGGCAUGCUGGAGGUAUCAGAAGUGCGAAUGCUGACAUAAGUAACGAUAAAGCGGGUGAAAAGCCCGCUCGCCGGAAGACCAAGGGUUCCUGUCCAACGUUAAUCGGGGCAGGGUGAGUCGACCCCUAAGGCGAGGCCGAAAGGCGUAGUCGAUGGGAAACAGGUUAAUAUUCCUGUACUUGGUGUUACUGCGAAGGGGGGACGGAGAAGGCUAUGUUAGCCGGGCGACGGUUGUCCCGGUUUAAGCAUGUAGGCUGGUUGUCCAGGCAAAUCCGGAUAAUCAAGGCUGAGGUGUGAUGACGAGGCACUACGGUGCUGAAGUAACAAAUGCCCUGCUUCCAGGAAAAGCCUCUAAGCAUCAGGUAACAUCAAAUCGUACCCCAAACCGACACAGGUGGUCAGGUAGAGAAUACCAAGGCGCUUGAGAGAACUCGGGUGAAGGAACUAGGCAAAAUGGUGCCGUAACUUCGGGAGAAGGCACGCUGGUGUGUAGGUGAAGUCCCUGCGGAUGGAGCUGAGACCAGUCGAAGAUACCAGCUGGCUGCAACUGUUUAUUAAAAACACAGCACUGUGCAAACACGAAAGUGGACGUAUACGGUGUGACGCCUGCCCGGUGCCGGAAGGUUAAUUGAUGGGGUUAUCCGUAAGGAGAAGCUCUUGAUCGAAGCCCCGGUAAACGGCGGCCGUAACUAUAACGGUCCUAAGGUAGCGAAAUUCCUUGUCGGGUAAGUUCCGACCUGCACGAAUGGCGUAAUGAUGGCCAGGCUGUCUCCACCCGAGACUCAGUGAAAUUGAACUCGCUGUGAAGAUGCAGUGUACCCGCGGCAAGACGGAAAGACCCCGUGAACCUUUACUAUAGCUUGACACUGAACAUUGAGCCUUGAUGUGUAGGAUAGGUGGGAGGCUUUGAAGCGUGGACGCCAGUCUGCGUGGAGCCAACCUUGAAAUACCACCCUUUAAUGUUUGAUGUUCUAACGUUGGCCCCUGACCGGGGUUGCGGACAGUGUCUGGUGGGUAGUUUGACUGGGGCGGUCUCCUCCCAAAGCGUAACGGAGGAGCACGAAGGUUAGCUAAUCCUGGUCGGACAUCAGGAGGUUAGUGCAAUGGCAUAAGCUAGCUUGACUGCGAGCGUGACGGCGCGAGCAGGUGCGAAAGCAGGUCAUAGUGAUCCGGUGGUUCUGAAUGGAAGGGCCAUCGCUCAACGGAUAAAAGGUACUCCGGGGAUAACAGGCUGAUACCGCCCAAGAGUUCAUAUCGACGGCGGUGUUUGGCACCUCGAUGUCGGCUCAUCACAUCCUGGGGCUGAAGUAGGUCCCAAGGGUAUGGCUGUUCGCCAUUUAAAGUGGUACGCGAGCUGGGUUUAGAACGUCGUGAGACAGUUCGGUCCCUAUCUGCCGUGGGCGCUGGAGAAUUGAGGGGGGCUGCUCCUAGUACGAGAGGACCGGAGUGGACGCAUCACUGGUGUUCGGGUUGUCAUGCCAAUGGCACUGCCCGGUAGCUAAAUGCGGAAGAGAUAAGUGCUGAAAGCAUCUAAGCACGAAACUUGCCCCGAGAUGAGUUCUCCCUGAGACUUUAAGUCUCCUGAAGGAACGUUAAAGACGAUGACGUUGAUAGGCCGGGUGUGUAAGCG
RNAcentral lists this ribosomal RNA (2008 nucleotides) under Klebsiella pneumoniae. RNAcentral's name for it is "23S ribosomal RNA". It matches the Rfam family "Bacterial large subunit ribosomal RNA", at positions 890 to 2875 of the family's 2925-position model. The record is from RNAcentral. Lineage: Bacteria; Pseudomonadati; Pseudomonadota; Gammaproteobacteria; Enterobacterales; Enterobacteriaceae.